UACGUAGGGAGCGAGCGUUGUCCGGAAUCAUUGGGCGUAAAGCGCGCGCAGGCGGCCUUUUAAGUCUGACGUGAAAGCCCCCGGCUUAACCGGGGAGGGUCAUUGGAAACUGGGAGGCUUGAGUGCAGAAGAGGAAAGUGGAAUUCCAAGUGUAGCGGUGAAAUGCGUAGAGAUUUGGAGGAACACCAGUAGCGAAGGCGACUUUCUGGUCUGUUACUGACGCUGAGGCGCGAAAGCGUGGGGAGCGAACAGG
Molecule: ribosomal RNA, 253 nt
Filed under: uncultured bacterium
Lineage: Bacteria
Description: partial 16S ribosomal RNA
Rfam family: Bacterial small subunit ribosomal RNA
Source: RNAcentral